CCUACGGGGGGCAGCAGUGGGGAAUAUUGGACAAUGGGGGCAACCCUGAUCCAGCCAUGCCGCGUGUGUGAAGAAGGCCCUCGGGUUGUAAAGCACUUUCAGUGAGGAAGAACGCCUGGUGGUUAAUACCCAUCAGGAAAGACAUCACUCACAGAAGAAGCACCGGCUAACUCCGUGCCAGCAGCCGCGGUAAUACGGAGGGUGCGAGCGUUAAUCGGAAUUACUGGGCGUAAAGCGCGCGUAGGUGGCUUGAUAAGCCGGUUGUGAAAGCCCCGGGCUCAACCUGGGAACGGCAUCCGGAACUGUCAAGCUAGAGUGCAGGAGAGGAAGGUAGAAUUCCCGGUGUAGCGGUGAAAUGCGUAGAGAUCGGGAGGAAUACCAGUGGCGAAGGCGGCCUUCUGGACUGACACUGACACUGAGGUGCGAAAGCGUGGGUAGCAAACAGGAUUAUAUACCCUUGUAGUC
This 465-nucleotide ribosomal RNA is filed under the name Vreelandella stevensii. Its description in RNAcentral is "partial 16S ribosomal RNA". It matches the Rfam family "Bacterial small subunit ribosomal RNA", at positions 338 to 795 of the family's 1533-position model. The record is from RNAcentral. Lineage: Bacteria; Pseudomonadati; Pseudomonadota; Gammaproteobacteria; Oceanospirillales; Halomonadaceae.